This 82-nucleotide non-coding RNA is filed under the name uncultured Enteractinococcus sp. RNAcentral's name for it is "Glycine riboswitch". It matches the Rfam family "Glycine riboswitch aptamer", at positions 9 to 86 of the family's 94-position model. Rfam says of the family: This family represents the bacterial glycine riboswitch. The record is from RNAcentral. Lineage: Bacteria; Bacillati; Actinomycetota; Actinomycetes; Micrococcales; Micrococcaceae.
ACAGUAAGCGGGAGAGCCCACGUCAAGUGGGCACCGACGGUGCAACAUCCUCCCCAGGAAUCUCUCAGGUAUCCCAACCGCU